UUCCAGACUCCUACGGGAGGCAGCAGUGAGGAAUAUUGGUCAAUGGCCGAGAGGCUGAACCAGCCAAGUCGCGUGAGGGAAGAAUGUCCUAUGGAUUGUAAACCUCUUUUGUCAGGGAGCAAAGUCACCCACGUGUGGGUGUUGGAGAGUACCUGAAGAAAAAGCAUCGGCUAACUCCGUGCCAGCAGCCGCGGUAAUACGGAGGAUGCGAGCGUUAUCCGGAUUUAUUGGGUUUAAAGGGUGCGUAGGCGGGUUAUCAAGACAGCGGUAAAAUCGUGGAGCUCAACUCCAUCCAGCCGUUGAAACUGAUGAUCUUGAGUGUGCGAGAAGUAUGCGGAAUGCGUGGUGU
Molecule: ribosomal RNA, 349 nt
Filed under: uncultured bacterium
Lineage: Bacteria
Description: bacterial SSU rRNA
Rfam family: Bacterial small subunit ribosomal RNA
Source: RNAcentral